This 253-nucleotide ribosomal RNA is filed under the name uncultured bacterium. RNAcentral describes it as "partial 16S ribosomal RNA". It matches the Rfam family "Bacterial small subunit ribosomal RNA", at positions 524 to 776 of the family's 1533-position model. The record is from RNAcentral.
GACAGAGGGUGCGAGCGUUGUCCGGAGUCACUGGGCGUAAAGAGCGUGUAGGCGGGCUGUUAAGUCAGGUGUGAAAUACCGCAGCUCAACUGCGGGGUGGCACUUGAUACUGGCAGUCUUGAGGGCAGGAGAGGGAAGUGGAAUUCCUGGUGUAGCGGUGAAAUGCGUAGAUAUCAGGAGGAACACCAGUGGCGAAGGCGGCUUCCUGGACUGACCCUGACGCUGAGACGCGAAAGCGUGGGGAGCAAACAGG